Molecule: regulatory RNA element, 133 nt
Rfam family: rmf RNA
Source: Rfam
UUGGUUAGAACUCAGCUUAAUCCGCCGCCGCAAUGGCAGUGGUUGAAGGCUCGUCACGCCGGCAACGAGCCUUCGAAGGCAGAGCAUUUUCUGCCGGGUUCCGCCAUUGGAACCAAUGGACAUAACAGUCAAC